GAUGAACGCUGGCGGCGUGCCUAAUACAUGCAAGUCGAGCGAACGGACGAGAAGCUUGCUUCUCUGGUGUUAGCGGCGGACGGGUGAGUAACACGUGGAUAACCUACCUAUAAGACUGGGAUAACUUCGGGAAACCGGAGCUAAUACCGGAUAAUAUUUUGAGCCGCAUGGUUCAAAAGUGAAAGACGGUCUUGCUGUCACUUAUAGAUGGAUCCGCGCUGCAUUAGCUAGUUGGUAAGGUAACGGCUUACCAAGGCAACGAUGCAUAGCCGACCUGAGAGGGGGAUCGGCCACACUGGAACGGAGACACGGUCCAGACUCCUACGGGAGGCAGCAGUAGGGAAUCUUCCGCAAUGGGGGAAAGCCUGACGGAGCAACGCCGCGUGAGUGAUGAAGGUCUUCGGAUCGUAAAACUCUGUUAUUAGGGAAGAACAUAUGUGUAAGUAACUGUGCACAUCUUGACGGUACCUAAUCAGAAAGCCACGGCUAACUACGUG
This 497-nucleotide ribosomal RNA is filed under the name uncultured bacterium. RNAcentral's name for it is "partial 16S ribosomal RNA". It matches the Rfam family "Bacterial small subunit ribosomal RNA", at positions 28 to 507 of the family's 1533-position model. The record is from RNAcentral.